Molecule: long non-coding RNA, 793 nt
Organism: Cheilinus undulatus (humphead wrasse)
Lineage: Eukaryota; Metazoa; Chordata; Actinopteri; Labriformes; Labridae
Exons: 4
Source: RefSeq, a predicted model, not a curated record
GUCCAUUCUCAGGGUUUAUCAGGGUCCAUUCUCAGGGUUUAUCAGGGUCCAUUCUCAGGGUUCAUCAGGGUCCAUUCUCUGGGUUUAUCAGGGUCCAUUCUCUGGGUUUAUCAGGGUCCAUAUUCUGGUUACAGUUACAACAUUCAAAGCUUUACUUUCUGGCUCAGAUCUCCUUUCAGAAAGUCACAUUGGAGUGAAUCUUCUUUGAUUAUGUCUUGGGAGACUCAGACUAGUACCUUCAACAGCUCAGCUCCCGGUUUAGGAGUGUUUACAUAGGCUACAUCUUCUUUAAAACGUAACACUAGGGCACCUGUAUUGAGUUAGUUUGAAUUGUUCACAGGUCCACAAUCAUCAUUUCUUUCUAUUGAAACAGAAGAAAAAGUUUGAUUUGGACCACCUCUGCCUGCAGCUUUAAGAACAGCUUUUACCUGUUGGGGGAGAGGGGUUAAACCUUCUCAGUGCCACGUAGAGGUGUGAGCAGCAGUGAGGAUGCAGAUAAAAAGAGCCGAGCAAACAGAGAGAGCAGCAGACACACCUGGACAUCAGCUGCAGUAUCCUCAGAGAGUCUCCUGAUCAGAAACCUUCAGCUGCUUCAUCCAAACCUGGACAGCUUUCUGUGAGCCAACAAAACUCUCCCAACAUGAUCGGACUCCUACUCCUGAUGUCCCUUCUUAAAGCGAGCCAAGCUAACAUGCCUCUGAAGAAGGACUUCAGAGCCACCUGCUCCUUCACCGGACCCUCCGUCAUAGACAGCAGUGGAAAAUUAGCCUCCAUCCCAGACCGCUGUGAUUAC